GGUAGAGGAGGUUUCACGACCCAAUACCCCCUUCCAAUCGUCUGCUACCCUCCACGCGGAACGAGACGGGCGAGACGAGGAGCCCGCCGCCUCCUUGAUACGCGCCGCCGGAUCUUCGACGUCCCGCCGCCGCCUUGACGCCGGCCUCCUCCUCUGGCAGCCUGGCGUUGUCCCCAAGAAAAGAAGGAGGUAAUUGCAAAUUCUGAACCGCCAGAUCACGAAGGAGAGCAAGCCUUGCUUGAUUUCCACCCUUCUGCAAUUGAUUGGUCUUUCUAGUCGGCUGAGUCUUGCCUGAUAUUCUCAUGGACUCGUUUCUGCUGAGAUUCUUGCUGGCGGACGAGCAGGUUCUUACUAUGCUUGAUGGGGUUCGUUUAUUGAACACAAAUAACGAUGGGAUUCUUCUAGUGACAAAUUUCCAGUUUCUCUUUGUGAGUAAAGGAGAAAAAAAAAAGUUGGGCACGAUCCCUCUGACUACAAUUGCCAAAAUUGAGGACAUCACGGUGAAUUUGUUCUAUUACAAGGGAAAAUCAAACAGUCUUUGCAGCAGGAGCAGGCUGUAAGGUCUAUUCAAGUAACUGGUUACGACUCGAGAAUUCUUACGUUUGCUGUUAAAUCUAAUCACAAUGAUCAGGGAACUGUAGUUGCAUGUUUGAGAAAAUACGCCAAACCUGCUGAUUUGCGUGGUCUAUUUGCAUUUCGAAAUCUGUCCGUUCCACGUGCCGUUGAUAAUCGAGUCAGCCCUGAAUUUCGGCUUUUGAAAGAAUACCACCGUUUUUUUCAUAAAUGGUUUUCUCAUUCACCAAGCACGAGUUUCGAAAUUCAGAAAGUUUUGGAGAACAAAUGGUGGAGGGUGACUAAUAUCAAUUCUGACUAUUCUUUAUGUCAAACUUAUCCAGCUCACUUGAGAGUCCCAAAAACUAUAAGUGACGAAGAGCUGAAGGAAGCUUCUAAAAGCCGAAAAAAGAUGCGCUUCCCUGCUAUUUCUUGGUGUGACUCUGGCUCUGGAGCUGUUUUGGCACGGUCAUCUCAGCCAAUCGCGAUGAUGGAUCAUAACGAGGACGUGAAACUUGUAUAUGCCUUUUGCACCCCAAGGAUUAAACCCACAGACGAAUUCAGUGUGAACAGAAAAUUAUACAUAGUUGAUUGUCGCCCAUGGACUAGCGCUCAGGCAAAUAAGUUAACACGUGGUGGAACAGAGUCAGCUAGUACUUAUCAAGAAGCUGAGAUUGUGUUUUUAGGAAUUCUGAAUAUCCAUGAUAUUAGAGGCAGUUUUACCGGCCUCCGGGAGUAUGUCAAUGCUUACGAAUCAAUUCAUCAAGUGGACUCCCUUUAGGUGGAUCUGUUCUUGGAGACCUGAAAAAUCAUCAAUUAACUCUAGAUAAAAGGAUAGGCUCUCCCAAAGCCUUAGGAAUGGCUAAAUUAUAUUCGGAGUAUACUGGUUGGGGCUUCAUGGAUCGCUGAAAAAAUUGCACAAGAAUCAGCUUCAGUUCUAGUCCACUGCAGUGAUGGCUGGGACAGAACAACACAGUUAGUUGGACUUGCUUCUAUCCUGCUUGAUCCGUAUUAUCGAACAUUCUCUGGGUUCCAGGCCGUUGUGGAAAAAGAUUGGUUGGCUUUUGGUCACCAGUUUGCAAAGAGGAUGGGCCUUCCAACACUAGGUGAAAAAGAGCAGCCAAAUGAGAAGGAAAUUUCACCAAUACUAUUGCAGUGGUUGGAAUGUAUUGCUCAGCUGAUGCGCAUGUACCCGUCUGCAUUUGAGUUUUCAUCCAUAUUUCUGGUGGAUUUUAUGGAUGCUGUGCUAUCGUGCCGUUUUGGUAACUUCCUAUGCAAUAGUGAGGAGGAAAGGGCACGUGCUGAUGUCGUGAACUCUUGUCCUUGCAUUUGGGAGCAUUUGGCUGAUAUGUGGGCCUCCUGCGGCAUGGUCCACAAGCACAUGAAUACUUUUUACAACCCAAGCAAAUAUACUGGUGCCAUUGUCCCGCCAGCUUCAGCGCUUACUCCCAUACUUUGGCCUGAAUUUUAUUUGAGAUGGACUUGUCCACUUGAAUCACAAAGGGAGAGCGAUUAUGUGGAAGCAUUGAAGUCAAAGAAGGAUGCUGAGCCUCGAAGCACGGUAGCAGAACUGGAAGGGAGCCAUACAGACGUGGCCAAGCCAAGUGGUGGAAAUUGUAGACUUCGGGUAGUGGGCUCCAAUGUUUUGAUGUGAAGUUGGUGCACGAAAUAGAAAAGCAAAACCUGUUUUAAUUGAGGACAACUGUGAGGAUAUCCCAACAUGACAGAUGUUUCUGUGGCUGUAGGAAGGGGUUGCAGCAACUUACAGUCUUAAACUGGUGUCACUGCUUUCCUCUUUACAUGCCCAUUGAGUUGUCUUGCUACAUGUUGGGAGUUAGUUACAAAGUGAGAGGGCCUGUAAUUUUGGGUGUGCUUGUCUGGUUGCUCAUUCUUUAUCCUUGUGCUGGCAAAUCAUGUGCUUUCUGGAGGAGAGUGAUACUCGGGAGUUCCACGGAGCAACUCGUGAGAGCUGCCUCACGGAGCGCUUCACCGUCAUGUGUUAUGCCGUCCUUGUGUGUAGCAUAGCAUGGCAUAAUUGCGAGCGAACUCAUGAAAUUUGUAUCACAUUGUUGCCA
RNAcentral lists this ribosomal RNA (2627 nucleotides) under Triticum aestivum (bread wheat). RNAcentral describes it as "partial small subunit ribosomal RNA". Lineage: Eukaryota; Viridiplantae; Streptophyta; Magnoliopsida; Poales; Poaceae. The record is from RNAcentral.